GAUGAAGAACGCAGCGAAAUGCGAUAAGUAAUGUGAAUUGCAGAAUUCAGUGAAUCAUCGAAUCUUUGAACGCACAUUGCGCCCGCCAGUAUUCUGGCGGGCAUGCCUGUUCGAGCGUCAUUACAACCCUCAGGCCCCCGGGCCUGGCGUUGGGGAUCGGCGGAAGCCCCCUGCGGGCACAACGCCGUCCCCCAAAUACAGUGGCGGUCCCGCCGCAGCUUCCAUUGCGUAGUAGCUAACAUCUCGCAACUGGAGAGCGGCGCGGCCACGCCGUAAAACACCCAACUUCUGAAUGUUGACCUCGAAUCAGGUAGGAAUACCCGCUGAACUUAAGCAUAUCAAUAAGCGGAGGA
RNAcentral lists this unclassified non-coding RNA (353 nucleotides) under soil metagenome. Its description in RNAcentral is "partial contains 5.8S ribosomal RNA, internal transcribed spacer 2, and large subunit ribosomal RNA". The stretch from base 1 to 120 matches the Rfam family "5.8S ribosomal RNA", at positions 35 to 154 of the family's 154-position model. The record is from RNAcentral.